This is a long non-coding RNA of Nicotiana tabacum (common tobacco), 1071 nucleotides long. RefSeq lists it as uncharacterized. Lineage: Eukaryota; Viridiplantae; Streptophyta; Magnoliopsida; Solanales; Solanaceae. The record is from RefSeq and is a predicted model, not a curated record.
AAUGAAUUUGAAAAGCACCUUUGAUCCACAAUUAAAGUUUGGUAAAGGUUAUACCAAAAAGAAUGAAUUAACGUAAGAUCAAUAUGCGUUUUGAAGAAAAAUGGGACGGAGGUAAAUAUAAGAACUACAAAUAUGGAUAUGGAAGGAAACGUAUAUUCAUCUUAGCAAAAUAGGCAUUUGUCAAAAUUGUAGGAAUAGCUUUUUCUUUUCCUUUUUCCGGCCACCUUCAAGGGUUUCCCGUUGCCUUGGUGCGGACUGAAGUAUUGGGGUUGUAUUGUAGCCGAUUCACGACCAAUGAAUUGCGGCACUAAUCCAAUGGAUUCGCUCAUUUGUCCCAAACCUCGUCGUCUUGGGGAUCCCGUUAGCCAUUCUAAUUGCCUUCCCUUGAGAAAUCAAGCUGCGGCCUUUGUUUCAAAAGGUGGAGCUUAACUUAUUGAUCUCAUUUUCAAAGAGGAUGGCAUAGCUGCAACACAAUACACAUCUGAUUUGUCGUCAUCCCCUCCUUUCUUCUCUGGUUCACCGCCUUGCAGGGCUAUGAAUCCAUUAAUCCCUGAUGCUCGCUUUACAAAUGAAAAGCAACCCCGUUUUUCAUCAUCACCAAGUACAUUGACUUCAGCUUCAUCUUCUCCAUCAUCAAGUUUUAAAGGAAGGUGUUCAAGGGCAAGACUUGGGCAAACUCAAUCACCAAAUAGAGUAGAGGGCUUUGACUGCCAAAACUCUCGCAUGGCUGCUACGGCUUAAAAAUCUUCCUUACCGAGAAGUAUAUAAAGACAACAGCUCAACAAUGUAUAUAGAAUAUCUAGAAAAUAAGAACAAGAUUUUGGAGAAUUUAUUAGCAAUUUGUUAGAGGGGAAAGUUCUGGUUUUUCGUUAAUAUUAUUGUGCAACGAUGUGGCUGUUGCACAUUUAUUGAAAUAAGGUGGUUGAGAGUUAGUUUUGUUUUUGUGCUGUCUGUAAAUGCUCUCGAUUGAUUUUGGUGCCACAAAUUUUUGACAAUUUGAAAACUUGUAGUAUUGUAUAUAUGUGAAAUUUGGAAUAGGAAGUGGUGAUCGAGUUUCAUUUUCUCCCCGAA